GUGCAGCAGGCGCGAAAACUUUACAAUGCUGGCAACAGCGAUAAGGGAACCUCGAGUGCCAGGUUACAAAUCUGGCUGUCGAGAUGCCUAAAAAGCAUUUCAUAGCAAGGGCCGGGCAAGACCGGUGCCAGCCGCCGCGGUAACACCGGCGGCUCGAGUGGUAACCGUUAUUAUUGGGUCUAAAGGGUCUGUAGCCGGCCGGAUAAGUCUCUUGAGAAAUCUGGCAGCUUAACUGUCAGGCUUUCAGGAGAUACUGUCUGGCUCGAGGCCGGGAGAGGUGAGAGGUACUUCAGGGGUAGGGGUGAAAUCUUGUAAUCCUUGAAGGACCACCAGUGGCGAAGGCGUCUCACCAGAACGGACCUGACGGCAAGGGACGAAAGCUAGGGGCACGAACCGGAUUAGAUACCCGGGUAGUCC
This 417-nucleotide ribosomal RNA is filed under the name uncultured archaeon. RNAcentral's name for it is "bacterial SSU rRNA". It matches the Rfam family "Archaeal small subunit ribosomal RNA", at positions 330 to 747 of the family's 1478-position model. RNAcentral also lists the same sequence under 1 other name. The record is from RNAcentral.